RNAcentral lists this ribosomal RNA (515 nucleotides) under uncultured bacterium. RNAcentral describes it as "bacterial SSU rRNA". It matches the Rfam family "Bacterial small subunit ribosomal RNA", at positions 28 to 501 of the family's 1533-position model. The record is from RNAcentral.
GACGAACGCUGGCGGCGUGCCUAAUACAUGCAAGUCGAACGCACUCUCGUUUAGAUUGAAGGAGCUUGCUCCUGAUUGAUAAACAUUUGAGUGAGUGGCGGACGGGUGAGUAACACGUGGGUAACCUGCCCUAAAGUGGGGGAUAACAUUUGGAAACAGGUGCUAAUACCGCAUAAAACCUAACACCGCAUGGUGUAGGGUUGAAAGAUGGUUUCGGCUAUCACUUUAGGAUGGACCCGCGGUGCAUUAGUUAGUUGGUGAGGUAAAGGCUCACCAAGACCGUGAUGCAUAGCCGACCUGAGAGGGUAAUCGGCCACACUGGGACUGAGACACGGCCCAGACUCCUACGGGAGGCAGCAGUAGGGAAUCUUCCACAAUGGACGAAAGUCUGAUGGAGCAACGCCGCGUGAGUGAAGAAGGUUUUCGGAUCGUAAAACUCUAGUUGUUGGAGAAGAAUGUAUCUGAUAGUAACUGAUCAGGUAGUGACGGUAUCCAACCAGAAAGCCACGGCUAAC